GUGAAUCAUCGAAUCUUUGAACGCACCUUGCGCUCCCUGGUAUUCCGGGGAGCACGCCUGUUCGAGUGUCAUGAAGCUCUCAAGCCAGUAUAGCUUUAUUGUUAUACUUGGUUUGGAUAUGAACUUUGCCGUGUUACAGCGGCUGGUUUUAAAAGUAUUAGCUGAUCCUUGGAAUUUCUUGGUUCUUACUCGGCGUGAUAAUUAUCUAACGUUGAGGACACUUCUUUACUGAGGUGGCCAGGGUUCUCCUAUGGAUUGCUUCUAAUCUUUGUCGCUUCAGACAAAAACAAAAUUUCAAUA
This 300-nucleotide unclassified non-coding RNA is filed under the name uncultured Sistotrema. Its description in RNAcentral is "sequence contains 5.8S rRNA gene, ITS2". The stretch from base 1 to 71 matches the Rfam family "5.8S ribosomal RNA", at positions 84 to 154 of the family's 154-position model. Lineage: Eukaryota; Fungi; Basidiomycota; Agaricomycetes; Corticiales; Corticiaceae. The record is from RNAcentral.